UCAACAGCUGACUUCUGGGUCAGAGGUCAUGAGCUCUGAAGUUCCUCAGGUGUUGCCUGGAUAAAAAUGCCCUUUAACCUGCCUAUAAAAAACUAUACGGUUUUCAUUUUGAAGGGUAUUGGAUUUCAUGGUCUCUGCCUUCAACUAAAGGAAGGAUGAUGCCCACUCACCACUUUGGCAGCCAUUUUGUUCAAGUUAAGAGGCCCCUUAGUUACAUUCCCAGGAUUACAAUCAAAUACCGUGUAUCUAUAUAAGAAAAAGAAGACACUGCAACCCCAGUUUUUUGUUUUGACAUUCUAGGAAUAAGCUAGCAACGCAUCUACAGUUUUCGUGUGGCUUUCUGGGCCAUGAUUUAGUUGGGAAUAGGCACACCUGAGAUUUGAGUGCAGUGCCUAAGACCCUGGGCUUGGGCGUCAGGGAAACCAGGAGUAAAAUGUUGGCAAAUAUCCUUCCAAUUACUUUUCGUGCAAACCCACAGAGGCAAAAUGAAUUUAUUUUUUCUUUUUAUAAAAGUAGGACAAUAUAAUUUGUGUAGUAAUUUAUGUUUUUAACUUAAUUAAUAGAAAUGAAUAUAUCACUUAAUAGCAAUCUGUAGCUUACAAUGUCUACAUCAUAUUUUACUGUGUAUAUUUAACCAGCCCCCUACUGUUUAUUUAGGUUGCUUUCAAUUCUUUUUUUUUUUCUUUAAUUGGAGUACAGUUGACACACAAUGUUAUAUUUCAGGUGCACAACAUAGUGAUUCCACAAGUUUAUAUUAUGCUACGCUCACCACAAGUGUAACUACUAUCUGUGACCAUACAACACUGUUAUAAUACCACCGACUAUCAUCCUUACAUUGUACCUUUCAUUUCUGUGAGUUAUUCAUUCCAUGACUGCAAGCUCGUAUCUCCCAGUCCCCUUCAUUCAUUUUUCCCAUCCCCCCCCUCAGCCUCCCUUCAGGAAACCACCAGUUUGUUCUCUGUAUGUACGGGUCUGUCUGCUUUUUUGGUUUGUUUGUUUAUUUUGUUUUCUAGAUUCCACAUAUAAGUGAAAUCAUAUAGUAUUUGUUUUUAUCUGUGUGACUUAUUUCGGUUAGCGUAAUACCUCCCAGAUCCACCCAUUCUGUCCCAUAGUUAAUUGUUUGCUUUUAUGAAUACUGCUGCAAUUACUAAUCUCACUUCUGAUUAUUUCAUUAGUAUUAAAGACAGGAAUCUGGAAUUUUCCAAACUGUGUAUUUUAAAACGUUUUUCACAGUAACUUUCAGAAGUUAUCAACAAGGAAGAGAGAGCAAUAUUUUUGCACUGAUGGUAAUGACUUAGGAGAAAGAAAAACUGAUACUUGGCAGAGAGGGCAGAAUAGCCAGAGUAGUGUCAUUAAGGAGGUGAGAGCGUAUGGGAUCUUAGUGCCCAAAUGGGUGUUGGGGGGGAGGCGAUUUUAAAUAGAAGCAAGGAGAACUUAUCUCUAGUAGAGAGCAGGAAGAUAGAAUAUGUGGGAGAAGAUGCUGGAAGGUUGACAGUGGGGGUAGGAAAGAGAAGUUCCGAUUGCUUCGAGAAGUGAAAAACAAGGUCAUGAGUUAGAGUGAGGGGAGAGGAGAUGAUGAAGGUUUGAGAGAAGAAGAUGGUAAAAUAGAGUUGAUUCUCAUUAUUUGUGGAUUUAACAUUUACAAAUUCACCCAUUUGUUCAAAUUAACUUGUCACCCUUAAACAUGCAGUCUUAGUGUUUUCAUUUGCAGAUAUGUGCACACUCAGCGCUAUGAAAAAUUGUGGUCACCCGACAUGUAUGCUCCCAGCUGAGACUGACCAAGUUACACUGUGCUUUAUUGUUUUAGCCCUCGUGCUAUGAGAAAGUGACCUUUUCGUUGCCUAUUUAGAGCCAUACUUUUAGCACAAAAUGGUGCUUUCGCUGUCUAAAAUGCCUACCUCCAAGCAUAGUGCUGAAAUGCUGUCUAGUGUUCCUAAGAGCAAGGAGGCUGUGGUGUGCCUUAUGGAGAAAAUAUGACUAUUGGACAAUUCAGGCAUGAGUUAUAAUGCUAUUGUCUCUGAGUUAAAUGUUAAUGAAUCAAUAAUACAGAUUCAGUAAGAUGUCUUUAAAUGAAAACACACAAAGAACAAGAUUAUAUGUGAUCAGUUGAUGAAAAUGUGGCCAGAAGCUUGUAGCAACCUAAUUCUGUAUUUUUCCUAGGAGCACUGGUUCAGUAUGCAUUAGUUCACUGUUGCUGGUGACAUCAAAGAACGUCACUGUAGCAAAUAACAAGAAUUGACUGUAUUGGAGCACCUGGGUGGCUCAGUUGGUUAAGCGUCCAACUUCGGCUCAGGUCACGAUCUCGCAGUCUGUGUGCUCGAGCCCCAUAUCGGGCUCUGUGCUGACAGCUCAGAGCCUGGAGCCCGCUUCGGAUUCUGUGUCUCCCUCUCUCUCUGCCCCUCCCCUACUCAUGCUCUGUCUCUCUCUCUCUCUCAAGAAUAAAUACACUUUAAAAAAAUUUAAAAAAAGAAUUGACUGCAUUUGUCUCAAAGAAUAGGAGAGUGAAUGAAAUAGGGAAGUUGGGCAUCAUAAAACAAGAGUUCAUUUGACUUAAAAUUAGAAAUUUGAAGUAGGAUCAAUCAGCGUGAUUGUGUGUUUUCCUCCAGCCAUAUUAGCUGUACAAAGACAGGCAUGAAAUAUGCAAACAGCUGGUAUUAACUAAGAUUGUGAUUCUGCCAAAUGAAUAUGGUGAGUCCAGGCAGUAGUUGAGGGGUUGAGAAUAUAUGCAAGAGAGUAGUUAUGAUAGUGCUCCUUGUGGCUUAACGUGUGUGUGUGUGUGUGUGUGUGUGUGUGUGUGUGUGUAUUUUAUUUAUUUAUUUUCAGUAUAGAGGGAGUCGGGCAUUGUAUAGAUUUAUGUCUUUUUCAGUGUGGAAUUCAGGAUUUUAAGUUUUCUGAGGGCAGUUUGUCAGGAUUAGGAUCCAUGUUCCACCAAGUACUAGCAAGAUAAGCUUGUAAAUCUGGUGACUGUGUUGUGAUUUGUUCAACCUCAGUGAAACAACCACUGGUAGAGUCGUAUGGUAUUUGCCACACUCAGCAAAACUUUCUCCAGUGGAUCACAGCACUAUAUUCACCUAUUGGAGCUCUGAAAAACAAAACCUUCCCCAGUCAAGAAUUAGUAAAUGGGAAGACUGGAACAAUUUAUGUUAUCUAAAACCACCACAUUUUAAAGACUUGACCCUGAUAUUUAAUAUGCCCGUAUAAAAAAAACUAUUAGUGGUAAUGGUACACGCGUGUUGAUUAAAACUUGUUUUCCUCCAAACUCCAGAAUUCCAUGAUCUGUAAGAACAGAAAUUUCACAUAGCACAAACUUUUCUAGAGAAUAGAGAAGUGCGUAUUUCCCAACCCAUCUUUGAGGCCAGCACAACGGUGACACUGAAAUCAGACAAGGACUGUGUAACAAAGAAAAAUUAUAAGACAACAUCACUCAUUUAUCUGCAUAAAAAAUGCUAGGUGUUCAUGGGUGUCUCAGGCUGGUCCACCAGAUGGAUGUGCCUGAAAUCUUUGCUCUGAAGAGAUGUGCCACGGUGGUGGGAAAAGAAAUCCAAGCAAGCACCAGUGGAGUAUUCCAGGCUGUCAGAGGUCGCUGAGGUAGAAAGAAUGUACAUGAUGCCCUGUGCCUCUCUACAGUAGGAAACUAAUAGGACCAAGAGUUAACAUGCUCUGAGGACAGUGCCGUAUUCUGAGGGAGCGACUGUAUGUAUUAUCAAAUCUAGCUGAAUUGCAACAGACAUGAUGAUCUGUCUUUCAGUCAAAGAAACUAAGACCCAGAG
Molecule: long non-coding RNA, 3770 nt
Organism: Neofelis nebulosa (Clouded leopard)
Lineage: Eukaryota; Metazoa; Chordata; Mammalia; Carnivora; Felidae
Exons: 4
Source: RefSeq, a predicted model, not a curated record